This is an RNA transcript of Brachypodium distachyon (stiff brome), 5027 nucleotides long. It is a transcript of the gene named putative disease resistance protein RGA3, with no coding region annotated. Lineage: Eukaryota; Viridiplantae; Streptophyta; Magnoliopsida; Poales; Poaceae. The record is from RefSeq and is a predicted model, not a curated record. The transcript is spliced from 7 exons.
AAUAGAACUGAAAUCCCAACUCUGGUUGGUUCUUCCCCAUUGGCCCCUUCCAAUUCCAGGCUUUCUCCCCUUCUGAUGGCCUGCUCGACAGGAGGCGGAAAUCCAGCCCUUCAAGUCAUGGUCCUAAUUAGUCCUAAAUAGAACUCAUCUGAACAAAACUGUUCUCACAAGGUUUCACAUGGCCUCCUUGUGGGAUCUCGAGGUGAUUACUACUUGAUUAGAUUAAGCCCAGCAACCAAGGUUAGAUCUAUGCAGCGUUCCUAGUUGAAUUUUCUCACAAGAAUCAAUACGAUUGCGCCGGGCAUGCAUUAGUAGACUGUGCUGUUUAGGUUCCCACUUCCCAGCCACUUUCUCUGCUCUUGCUUUGCUCUGGUGUACUACUUGCUGCUGUUUGCCCUGCAGCAUAUCGAUACAUUCUGUUCAUUCCUGUUGGCCGGCAGAAGUUUGUCCUGCAGAGUGUUGAGGCAGGAAACAGUUGGUAUUAACACAUAUCGCCCUCCUUCUGCAGGCUGCAGCACUCAUCAGCUGACCCAUAUUCAGGUUUCACAUUUUCUGAUGGAAACUUGAGGAGGUAAACAGAUCAGGCUGCCAAAUAGUCUUACCUGCAUUCUGGUCCCGUUGAUCAUCCUUCAUCGGUGCAGACCCAGCUCAAGUUUCAUGACCGGCGCACUUGUUUGUAUUGUUUGUUGGACUUCUUAUCAAAGAGAUCUUGUCAGGAGAGAACAAUUAAUAUGAACACAUCCCGCCCUUCUUUAGCAGCCUAAUCAAUUUACCUUAUCCAGCAGUGAGGCUUUCUUGGUGACUGGCUUAUAAUCUUCUAAUAUCUCUUCUAUACAUCGGUCUAUUCAACCAGUUCUCAUUUCCUUCGGGCAAAAUGGGUUGAUCACUGGAGCGAGAUGAUUACUAUAUAUUGGUUCUUGUAAUCAACCGUUUAUUUCUUUCUGAAAGAUUGGUUUGAAAGCCUCCAAGUUUGCGACACUUCUAGAGAAAUUGCUUCGUGGUGGAUCAACCUUGUCAAGCUUGUAUGAUGGCAGCCAUACUAGAUUCUCUUGUUGGGUCAUGUGCCAAAAAAUUGCAAGAAAUCAUUACAGAAGAGGCGGUUCUGAUUCUAGGGGUAAAAGAAGACCUCAGAGAACUGCAGCGGACAAUGACACAAAUACAAUAUUUCCUUAGUGAUGCUGAGCAAAGGAGAACAGAAGAGUCUGCAGUAAACAAUUGGCUUGGUGAGCUGAGAGAUGCUAUGUAUUAUGCUGAUGAUAUUAUUGACUUGGCAAGGUCUGAAGGAUGCAAGCUACUAGCUGAAAGUCCUUCAUCAUCAAGAAAGUCAACUUCAUGUAUUGGCAGGUCGUUUUUCACUUGCAUUCCUAAUGUUCAGAAGCGUCACAAGAUUGCCGUUCAAAUCAGAGACUUCAAUGCUGAGCUUCAGAAGAUUUCAGAGCUCGGCGAAAGAUAUUUAAAGCUUCAGAAUAUGCAGCCUAAAGCAGAAGUUCCGACAGUGAAGCAAAUGGCAACUAGCCACCUCGUGGAGCCUAAUCUUGUGGGAAAGGAAACAUUACAUGCUUGCAGAAGAUUGGUUGAACUGGUGCUUGCACACAAGGAAAAUAAGGCCUAUAAGCUUGGUAUUGUUGGAACAGGAGGGGUUGGAAAGACAACACUAGCUCAGAAAAUAUAUAAUGACCAAAAGAUAAAAGGACAGUUCGGCAACCAAGUAUGGAUCUGUGUUUCUCAGAAUUACUCUGAAGCUGCUCUUUUGAAGGAAAUUCUUCGAAAUUUCGGGGUACACCAUGAGCAAAAUGAAACUGUGGGAGAGCUCAGCAGCAAGCUUGCAACGGCCAUUGCAGAUAAAAGUUUCUUCAUUGUGUUGGAUGAUGUUUGGGUGCCUGAGGUUUGGACCAAUUUACUGAGAAUUCCAUUACAUGCUGCUGCAACUGGAGUCAUUCUUGUAACAACUCGACAUGAUACAGUGGCACAUGUGAUUGGAGUGGAAGAUCUGCAUCGAGUUGAUUUGAUGCCAGCAGAUGUUGGAUGGGAGUUGCUUUGGAAGAGUAUGAACAUUAGUGAAGUAAAAGAUGUGCAACACCUGCAGGAAAUAGGGAUGGAUAUUGUUCGUAAAUGUGGUGGACUUCCUCUCGCAAUCAAGGUUGCUGCUCGUGUUCUAUCAACUGAAGACAAAACUGAGAAUGAGUGGAGAAAAUUUAUCAAUAGAAGCGCUUGGUCUGUUGGCACUCUUCCUACUGAGCUCAGAGGUGCUUUGUACAUGAGUUAUGAUGACCUCCCACGUCAUCUAAAGCAGUGUUUCCUUAAUUGUGGUACGUAUCCCGAAGAUUGGGUCAUGCAGCGUGAUUACAUUGCCAUGUCAUGGGUUGCUGAAGGAUUUAUACUGGAGCAAAAAGGCCAACUACUAGAAGACACAGCAAACGAGUACUACUAUGAGCUUAUCCAUCGGAAUCUCAUCCAACCAGAUGGUUCAACUUUUGACCUUGCAAAAUGCAAAAUGCAUGACCUCUUAAGGCAGCUUGCUUGUUAUUUAUCAAGAGAAGAGAGUUUUGUUGGAGACCCUGAAUCAUUAGGGGCUAUAAAUAUGUCAAAACUGCGACGCGUUACUGUUGUCACUGAGAAAGAUAUUUUGGUGUUACCUAGCAUGGUUAAGGGUGAACUUAAGGUGCGGGCUUUCCAAACUGAUCAGAAGGCAUGGAGUGUUGAGGAUACAUUUUUCAAGAAGAUUCCAUCUAUUCGUGUUUUGAAUCUGAGUGACUCACUUAUAGAAAGAAUCCCAGAUUAUAUAGGAAAUUUGAUCCACUUGCGUCUACUUGAUCUCGAUGGUACAAACAUAUAUUUUCUGCCAGAGUCAGUAGGCUCUCUCAUGAACCUCCAAGUACUAAAUUUGUCAAGAUGCAAAGCUCUGAACAGCCUUCCUUUGGCAAUCACUCAACUGUGCACUUUAAGGCGCCUUGGUCUGCGUGGUACACCGAUUAAUCAAGUACCAAAAGAGAUAGGCAGAUUGGAAUACCUCAAUGAUUUAGAAGGAUUUCCCGUCGGUGGUGGCAGUGAUAUUGGUAAAACACAAGAUGGAUGGAAGUUGGAAGAGUUGGGGCAUCUGUUGCAGCUAAGGAGGCUUCAGGUCAUCAAAUUGCAAAGAGCAGAUCCUUGUGCUACAGAUUCAUUGCUAGCAGACAAAAAAUAUCUGAAACUUUUGAGUCUAUGCUGCACGAAACAUCCAAUUGAACCUUACUCAGGAGAAGAUGUUGGCAAUAUUGAGAAGAUCUUUGAGCAACUUAUCCCUCCACACAACCUGGAAGAUCUAGUUAUUGCUGGUUUGUUUGGCCGAAAGUUUCCCACCUGGCUUGGUACAACCCAUUUGGUCUCAGUCAAAUACUUGAAGCUCAUAGACUGCAAGUCCUGUGUGCAUCUUCCCCCACUCUGUCAACUAUCAAACCUAAAAUACCUAAGAAUUGAUGGAGCAGCAGCAGUUAGCAAGAUUGGGCCCGAAUUCGUGGGCUGCAGGGAGGGAAAUCCCAGAUCCACGGUGGCAGUUGCUUUCCCCAAGCUUGAAACGUUGAUCAUCAAGAAUAUGCCCAACUGGGAGGAGUGGUCCUUUGUUGAAGAAGGAGAUGCAGCGGCAGCAUCUAUGGAAGGGGAAGAUGACGGAUCUGCUGAGAUUCGAAAAGGGGAAGCCCCGUCUCCAAGGUUGCAGGUGCUGCCACGCUUGAAGAGGUUGGAACUUGUAGACUGCCCCAAGCUGAGAGCUCUCCCAUGGCAGCUUGGACAGGAGGCCACCUGCUUGGAAGGUCUCGGAUUGAGAGGAGCAAGCAGCUUGAAGGUGGUGGAGGACCUCCCGUUCCUCUCUGAUAUGCUUUCAAUCGCGGGAUGUGACGACCUAGAGAAGGUCUCAAACCUUCCGCAAGUGAGAGACCUACGUGUGCAACUUUGUCCAAACCUGAGACUUGUUGAGGGGUUAGGUAGUUUGCAGCAGGUGUUGUUGACUAAUGAUAUGCGUGAGAUCUCCUCACUGUGGUUGCCCGGGCUUCAGCAGCAGUGCAUGCAACAUCACGGUGAAGACUUGGGUAUCUACCCAUGGACAUGGUGAUUACACGUAGCUGCCUGAUUACAUGGUCACAAAGAUGUGAGCUUGGACAUGAGGCCACCAGCUUGGAACUGCUCGGAUUGAGAGGAGCAAGCAGCUUGAAGGUGGUGGAGGACCUCCCGUUCCUCUCUGAGAGGCUUUUAAUCGAGGGAUGUGAUGACUUAGAGAGGGUCUCAAAUCUUCCUCAAGUGAGAGAGCUACGUGUAGACGAUUGUCCAAAGCUAAGGUGUGUUGAGGGGCUAGGAAACUUGCGGCAGCUGUGGUUAGAUGAGGAUAUGCAAGAGAUCUCUGAGCUCUGGGUCUCCGGGCUGCAACAGAAGUGCCAAAGGCUUCACGAUGAAGACCUGGAUGUGUACGACUGGGCUUGAUUAUCAGCCUUGCUGUAUGCAAUCUGAAGACUGAGGCUAUUUAGUCUGAAGAGGUGUUGAACUUUCUGUUGAUAAUUGAAAUAGGCGCGGCAAGUGGUAUCUUUGAGAGAAAAUACAAAAAAUAGUAUAGGUAAAAAAUCCGAAGAAACGAUCAAACCAAAAUGGCAAAAAAAAGUGAAAACAAAGAUCCAAAAAAAAUUGAAAACAAAAAUGGCAAAAAAAAAGAGAGAAAAUAAAAAUCCAAAAAAGUUUCUUUAUUUGUCUUGUAAUUUACUUUUCAGCAAACGUGUCUAUGCGUGUGUUUGUGUUUUGGUAGAGUAGGCAACUCCGUCUAUGUGAGGAACUGUGGACAAAUGUUAUAAUUAUGUCACAUAGCCGGUUCCAAACCCGGGGAAAGGAGGAGGACCAAAUCAUGUUGCAGCUUCUUCGUAUCAACAAAUGUAGAACUUGUGUUGCAUAGCCGGUUUGAAACUCAUCACAUGAUUCUUGUAUGCCGUUUACACAUGUAUACAGAUGGAAUGUACUGAUGUCAGCUCGGAAGACCAUCAAGAAGCUAAUCACAAGGAUUUACGCAA